AAGGAAAGUAAUUACAAUCCCAACUAAUACGGGAAUUCUAUAAUUAUAUUGGAUUACAAUUCCUAAUUUAAAUCAAUUACAUGAUUCACACCAACAGAUCCAUCAAUACGGAAACACUACCCAUACAGAUGAGAGCGGGUCAUUUAGGUGGUGGCUCCAACACUACCCAUACGGAUGAGAGCAGGUCGUUUAGGUGGUGGCUCCAGCAAUACAAAGACACCGCCUAUACCGAUGUGGGCUUGGCUCCACGUGUGGCCCAGUAUGUGAUGGUCACACGUGAGGGGGUGUGUUGAAAAAUAUAAGUCUCACAUCGAAUGAUUGGCUAAAUAAAAGACAACUUAUAAUAAGUUGUUCUACUCCUAAUAGCACCGAGCCCUUUUGUGAUAAAACCCUACACCUACAGGGUUCUAUAGGUGGUUAAGUUGGGACAAUAUUGGGGUUGCUAAUGGUGGGACACUGGCCUAUCUCUCUAAGUUUGACAAAUCGAUGAACCAUCUUUUAGGGUUUGCUCAGCAUCAUUGUCCAAUCCUAGGCUCUUCAGGGCAGCCGCUUGGAGAUAGAAGGCAGUUGGCCAUUCAGGGUGUCGUACAAGAGCCUGCAUCGCAUCUCCAAGAGCUUCUUGUGCCAUAUCACUCAUCAGGUAACACAAGCAACGUCUAGCAAACAACGUUCCCGAUUCAAUGCUCCCGCGAUCAAUGAACUGCAAUGAGAAGCAAGAGGAAAUCCAGCUCAGAGUUACAUGAUACGCAUAUAAAAUCACAUGAAGGUUGGAAACUUGUAACUUUUUGUCUGCAGAACAGAAACUUCAAUUUCUGUAACCCCUCCACUAAUAGUAUUCUAUAAACUAGAUGAAGAAGCAAAUUACAUUGUGUAAGUCCUGAUUUUGAUGGCAUAUUAAUGAUGACGAACAAAUUUUGUAGUUCUAAAUUUGUGAGUUCUGACUUACUUCUGUGUAAAAAUCUAUGGCGCUAGCAAAUUCUUUUGCUCGAAAUGCAGCAUCCCCAUUUUUCUUAAAGUUCAAUCUUUCUUGCAUUUGGUCUGUCCACAUUUGGAAAGAAAGCUGCAAGGUAACUCCAAAGUAAGGGCAGUGCGUUAAACAAACUCAACACAAAAAGUCUGCUCAUAAACGUAAAAGAACAAAAUUUGCUAGGAAACGGGGAAAACAAGUUAUUUUUUUCUCCCUUGGUAGAUGUCACAAAAUAAAAUGCAGAAAAAUCAGAAAUGAAAGAUCACUAACUUCAGUUUGAGCCUCCUCAUCUUCCUUGUAUCCAAUCAUCAGCAAUAUUUCAUGUAUUCUAGCAAGAUCUAAUCUCGAGCAAGCUUCACCUAGAGGUGACAACACUGUCUGCUUUGGAGGAAUAUUUCCAUGUGGAACACCCAUCAAAACGUAUGAUGGAACCUGCUCCAAAACACCAGCUGAGAUGAAAUAAUUCCUUUUUGGCACUCUCUUUGCAGAGAUAAUGCAACUUGGGCAAGUCAUAUUUCGAAAACAUAUGAAAAGAAAAUCAAAUUUUUGGUUACACUGCCUCGCUUAAUCAUAACCAAUUUCCCACUUAGCCAAAAACAAAUCAAAUUUGAAAGCACAUAACAAAUAAAGUUUGGCAUACCUCAGUUUGUUCUUGAAGAGGAACAAGUGCACUCACAAUAUACUUGAAAUUUGGCCUGUUAUGAGGUUCAUACUGCAAACAUUUGGAGGCUAACCGCACCAGCUCAGUACCGUCAUCAUUUGAGAAAUGACCUUCCAAGCAUGAGUCCAUCAGCAUCAAAAAAUUCUUGUCGCGUAUGAGAUCAAGUGCCUUGUAGAAAGAAAAAUUAAACAUUAUUUGCUAGAAGUUUAACCAGAACCCACAAUUGAUAACCAAUUAGCACUUAUUAUUAAUCAGGAAAUGCUGAGAACGAGACACAAUCACAUAGCCUUAUCGUAGAGAACAUUUAUAAUCACAAGUUACAUACAUGGACCAUAAGAUGUCAAGCAAAAUAUCAGGGCAACAAUUAAUGCAUCUCAAUCGAACAUACGAAGGAAAGGGAAACUCACAUGGCUUGGAGGGAUAUGUCUGCCACUGAGCAGAUUAAGCAACAGGGUCCCAAAGCUGUAAACCAUACUUUCUGGUAUCACUCUUCCUGAACAUGUACAGUUAGCUCAACUAAAGACUAUCGAUCAUGUAGAUCAACGCGUCAAAAGCUCAUGCAUGACAAGUAUGAGACUGAAUUUGAAAACCGUUUUUCCAUUGGCUGAAGCAAUGAUGGUAUGAAUUACCUGUCCUCAAGAACUCUGGAGGGGCGAAAGCCAAGUUGGGGUAGCUCUUGCCAUCUGUGCUAUAAUUGAUAAGGCCAAAGCAAGAGAGUCUGGGAUUUCCAUCCUGUCAAUGAAGUUCUGACUCAAUGUAAUGUCCAACAAAAGAUUAACAAAUCGAAAGGGUAAAAGGGUCCAAUUAAUUACCUGAUCAAACAUGACUCUAUAAGCAUUGAGAUCAUGGUAUAAUGCCUUCCCUUUGCUGCUGCAGCAGUCUAAAGCUUGUGCCACAUACAAAGCCACUCUCAUCCUCAUUGCCCAUGUCAUCGGCUGUGUCUCCCCUACACCAAAUAAACCAAUUUCAUCCCAUAAUUACUUCAACAAAAAAAGAAUUAAAAUUUUCUGUUGAUCUGUUUCCUCAAACUUAAGAAAGCAGAGGGUUGUUUAAUAUUAUUUUCAUCAAACGCAUACCAUCAUACGAUUAACACCGAUACGACAAAGCAAAAUAAGUUUAGUUGAAGAUUUUAGAACUUACACUGGAAAAGGUGCUUAAAGAGAGUUGCAUUUGGCAUGAACUCAGCCACAAGGAAUCUCUCAUCGUCCUCAACGCAACACCCGAUCAAAUUUGCCAAACGCUCGUUGCUUAGCCUCCCCACAGCUCUAGCUUCCUCCUAUAAGAGUUGUAACCAAACCCACCACAUAUAAGGUUUAUUCAUUUUUUUAUUUUAAAAAUAAUAAUAAGUAAAUUUAGUCAACUGCAAAUUUACGGACAAGAAAUGGGCGGGAAUCGGGCCAAGCGGAGAGGGUGUAGCGCUUAACAGCGAUCAAACGGCCGUCUUCCAGCUUCCCUUUGUAGACCACAUUGGGACCUUUCUCUCCAAGCUCAGAGACAACAUUAUGGGACGAGAAUCCUGACGUGGCAACUCUUAGUUGGUCCAAGCUGAACUCAGGCAGCCAGUACUUCUCGUUUUCCUUCCCAGCCUCUGCAUUUCAGGAAACCAAAAAAAAAGUGUGCAAAACUUUCUCGGGAAAGUAAGGGAAAACAACAAUACAAAAAAAUAAUAAUAAAAUAAAAACUCACCUAUGUCUUCCGAAUCAUUGAGGUUGGAUAUGUUAUUGGAUGGGCGGAAGCAAAGACAGAAUCUGGUUCCCAUUAAUGGAUGAUGAAGCAAGUCGUAGAGAGACAGAGAGAGACAGAGAGCUUGAAAUUUAAAACAUGUGCAUGUAUCUCGAAAGUUUUGGCUGUUUCUUGUAGACUUUAGUUUCCACCAGUUUCCUGGGUGCUACUAGGAGACUAAGGAGGAGAGAAAGGGGGUUGAAAUUCAUGGUCACCAUUAAUAUCAAGAUAUGAAAAGUCGUGUUAAUUAUACGCAUGACAAAUGAAAUGAAAUUCGUGUGGGAACGGAGACGCAGCCGAAAGACUCACAAAGUCAACAAGGGAAGCUUCCAUUGCAUUACUUACUAGCUAGCAAAUUACACUUUGAAUACGAUCAUAUCUCUUUGCGUUUUAUGUGUACAAGUCUCGUCUUCUUCCUCUACCCAAAAGUUUUAAACAAACAAAAAGGUCCAAACAAGUCAAGAGGAGGACUUGUCAUUCGCUUUAAUAAUAAUAGUCUUCGAGAGCAGGAAAUAUUAGCAAAUAGCUACGUGGGUAUCUUUGGGGUUUCCAACCUCAUACCACAUAGGAAUAAACUAUUAACCUCAUACCCUCGUCAGUAGCUACCUAUUCUUUAUAGGAAAAUGCUAGGCACUUAAAUAAUUAAAAGACAACGUGUCUAUGUAGCAAAAAAAAGGAUAUUGACUUGUACCCCAAAAAAAAAAAAGGAUAUUGACUAAAAAAAGAAAACAAACACAAAUGUGUUGUAAAGAAGAAAUAUGUGGAGUCCACAUUUAUGGGGCCCACAAAGAAAAUUAAGCAAAGUAUUUGGAGGUUUAUCAGCUGCACACUCACGGAUGUGUAUUGUAGAAUCACGGGUGCCAUUUAACAUCUCUAUAAAUAGAGAAAGAAGAAGAGAGAAAGAAAAGAAAAAGAAGAAGAGAGAAAGAGAUAGGAAACGGAAAGAAGAAAAAGAAGAAGAGAGAAAGAGAUAGGAAACGGAAAGAAGAAAAGAAAAAGAGAGAAAGAGAUAGGAAACGGAAAGAAGAAAAAGAAGAAGAGAGAAAGAGAUAGGAAACGGAAAGAAGAAAAGAAAAAGAGAGAAAGAGAUAGGAAACGGAAAGGAGGAAAGGAAAGGAGGAAAGAAGAGGGUAAGUAAGCAGAGAGAAAAUUCAGUGAGUCACACAUAUUGUAAACACUAUUGUAGUCAUAUUAUUAUAUAGUGAAAAGUUACUGUUGCUGCUCUCCGAGGACGUAGGCGUAGCCGAACCUCGUUAAAUACUGUGUCUCAUCUACUUUACGUGCAGCUCAAAAUUCGCACAUAUCCCAGGUUAUUUUAUAACACGUUAUCAGCACGAUAGUCUCUCCUUUUAUUUCUGAAAUUUUUCCAACUCAACACUAUAUAAUAUACUAUAUUUAUCUGUUUCUCUAUUACUAACCAUUAACAAAAAUGGACCCUUGGUAAUACUAAACAUAUUAUCAGUGGGAGACCGUUACUAAUACUAACUUUUUUUUUAUUCGGUGGUGGUUUUAACCCCACAUUUAAUUUUAUUUAUGGUAUGGUGUAGGCUUAUUACCCAUACGGCAAUAUUUAUUUAAAGGGUGGUGCGGGUUUAUCGUCCACGCCUUUACUUUUAUUUAAAUAUAUGGAGCAGAAUUAGUGCCCAUACAAGCACAUUUACUUUACCGCACAUUUAAGGUAUGGUGCGGGUUUAUCGUCCAUACCAGCAAAUUCAUAACACUUUACUUUUAUCAUCAAUUAAUAUACCUGAAUAAUGAGGACCUGAAAUUCCUAUUAAUAAGUGGCUUAAUAUUCCAGAUCUCGAGCCUAAAGUUUUGGAUGGCAAAUUUGGCAAAACUAGAGUUUGCUGCCUUGGACCUUUCCGGGGACAACUAUUUAUCAUGGGUCCUGGAUGCCAAAAUUCAUCUACGAGUCAAUGGCCUCGGACAAACAAUUGUAGAUGAGAAUGAUGCUUCGCCUGAAGAGAAUGCGAAGGCCAUGAUCUUUCUUCGCCGCCACAUCCAUGAAGCGCUGAAGAGCGAAUAUGUGGUGGUUGAUGAACCGUUGGUUCUGUGGAAAGCUCUAGGUGAAAGAUACGAUCACCAGAAGACGGUGACUCUCCCAAGAGCUAAUACGAAUGGACCCACUUGAGAUUUCAAGAUUUCAAGUCAGUGUCCAAGUAUAACUCUGCUAUGCACAGAAUUACCCCAUUAAUGAGGCUAUGUGGGGAAAAUAUAUCUGAUGAGGAUAUGCUCGAAAAAACUCCGAGCACUUUUCAUGCUUCAAAUGUCCUCCUUCAGCAGCAAUACAGACAUAGCGGUUUCAAGAAGUACUCGGAACUUGUAUCUUGCCUCUUGUUAGCUGAGCAGAAUAAUGAGCUCUUAUCAAAGAAUCACCAAUCUCGCCCAACGGGCUCAGCACCACUUCCUGAAAUAAAUGCUGCAUCUCAGGAAGUGAAUGCCACUUCAUCUCGUGGCAGUAUCUACAAACGUGAGCGAGGGGGCAAGCGUGGCCACUGGCAAGGAAGUAGAAAAAAUCGUGGUGCUCGUUCAGAGGGUUUAGGUCCAAGGAGCGGUCCAUCCACGAAUGGCAAAAAUGCAUCCCGUAAUAAGGGAAAGGCACAGAUGAGCCAUGUGCCUAGAAAUGUUGAAAGCCCUUGUCACAGAUGUGGUGCAAAGGGACAUUGGGUGCGCGCAUGUCGUACGCCCAGGCAUUUGGUUGAUCUCUAUCAAGCUUCACUUAAGAACAGGAAAGUGGAGAUAAAUUACAUUGAUCAUGCUCCGCCAGCCACAGAUGGCUCAUCAGAAAUAUCACGUCAGCUAAACAAGACGCAUCUAGCUGUUUCUGAUUUUGUUACUGAAAAAGGGAAUGAAGGUUAUGUGUCCGAAUUAGAUUAAAUUCCUUAAUAUACUAUUUGUAUUAGCUGAAGUGUUGUUUAAAUUUCAAUCCAAUAAAAGUGGUAAUGUUUUCUUCUUUAUUAAUCCAGCUUAUUUUACUUAUUUGGUGGCAUGGAUGCAAAUUAUGGAUGCCCUCAAAACAAAGGCUAUGGCAGAGAUAUUUGUCUCGCAGACAGCGCAACUACUCAUACGAUCCUUCAAGAUCGGAAGUAUUUCUCAAAAUUAAUGCUUACAAAAGCAAAGGUAACAACCAUAUCAGGUCCUGCAGAUCUGAUUGAAGGUUCAGGAAUAGCCCAAAUUAUGUUACCGAAUGGAACAAUACUGUCCAUUCCAGAUGCUUUGUAUUCAUCUAACUCCAGAAGGAAUCUGUUGAGUUUCAAAGAUAUACGUUUGAAUGGCUACCAUGUUGAAACAAAGAAAGAGGAAAACAUGGAAUAUCUUUGUAUUACCUCCAGUGAUACUCAAAAGCGUAUACUGGAAAAGCUUUGUGAGCUCUCAUCAGGGUUGUAUUACACAACCAUACGGACAAUUGAGGCACAUAGUGUCAUGGACCAAGAGUCCACUGACUCAAAUGCUUUUAAGCUUUGGCAUGACAGGUUGGGUCAUCCUGGAUCCACCAUGAUGCGCAGGAUCAUCACCAACUCUAAAGGACAUCCCUUGUUGACUAAACACAUUAUGUUAUCAAGCGACAUCUUUUGCCAAGCUUGUUCACAAGGGAAGUUGGUGAUCAGACCAUCACAACCAAAGGUUGAUGUUGAGUCUCCAUCAUUUUUGCAGAGAAUUCAAGGGGACAUUUGUGGACCCAUUCAUCCCCCAUGUAGACCAUUUCGGUACUUUAUGGUCUUGGUAGACGCAUCUACCCGAUGGUCACAUGUUUGUCUUUUAUCUACUCGGAAUAUGACAUUUGCUAUGCUUUUGGCUCAGAUAAUUAAAUUACGAGCCCAAUUCCCAGAUUAUCCCAUUAAGUCAAUCAGACUCGAUAAUGCUGGUGAAUUUACAUCUCAGACUUUUGAUGACUACUGCAUGUCACUAGGCAUUGAUAUUGAACAUCCUGUUCCCCAUGUGCAUACUCAAAAUGGCUUGGCAGAAGCUUUAAUUAAACGCCUUCAAUUGAUAGCACGCACUUUGCUAAUGAAAACAAAGUUGCCAUUUUCUGCUUGGGGAUAUGCCAUUUUACAUGCAGCAUCGCUUGUGCGAUUGAGGCCCGUCACCAACAAUCAAUGUUCUCCAAUACAACUCGUAUUGGGAAAUCAACCAAACAUUUCACAUUUAAGAAUUUUUGGGUGUGCAGUAUAUGUGCCCAUUGCACCACCGCAACGUACUAAGAUGGGCCCUCAACGCAGAUUGGGAAUUUAUGUUGGUUUUGAUUCACCAUCUAUCAUCAGAUACUUGGCACCCCUGACGGGUGAUAUUUUUACCGCACGAUUUGCGGAUUGUGAUUUUGAUGAGACAAUCUUCCCACCAUUAGGGGGAGAAAAAUCUGUGUCUAAAGAACAAGGCAAACUCAUUCCUGAAAAACGACAUGAAUUAUCCUGGAAUGUAUCCACAUUGUCUCAUCUCGAUCCUCAUACUGCUCAAUGCGAAAACGAAGUGAGAAGGAUCGUUCACCUCCAAAGUAUUGCCAAUCAGAUGCCAGAUGCAUUUAAUGAUGCAGCAAAGGUGACAAAAUCUCAUAUCCCAGCUGCAAAUACACCCGCACGGAUUGAUGUCCAUAAUGGACAAAGCAAUAUCCCAGCAAAUGGUUCAUCUGCUGCACGCCUAAAACGUGGCAGACCACUAGGCUCAAAGGAUUCAAUUCCUCGAAAGAGGAAGUUGAUGGACAAAAUGAAUCCAAAUGAAAUAAAUAGAGAGCCCACAAUUCAUAAUUCAAAUGCCCCCAAAGAGGGACAGGUACUUCUUGAUAAGGAAAACGUCAUUGGUGAGACAAGUGCCCCUGGAGUGGCAACCGUACCUGAAAGUCAAGAAAUCUCCAUAAAUUAUACGUCCACUGAUGAAUUGUGGAGUAGAAAUGAGAUGAUCAUCGAUGAUAUAUUUGCAUUCUCAGUGGCUGCUGAGAUCAUAAAAGAUGAUGAUAUUGAGCCGUGCUCUAUUAAUGAAUGUACACAGAGGCAAGAUUGGCCCAAGUGGAAAGAUGCAAUCCAGGCAGAAUUAAAUUCUUUGGAAAAAAGGAGUGUUUUUGGACAUAUUAGUCCAACUCCACCCAAUGUGAACCCUGUAGGUUACAAGUGGGUAUUUACAAGAAAGCGCAAUGAGAAAAAUGAGAUCUCAAGGUAUAAAGAGCGACUCGUUGCGCAAGGUUUUUCACAAAAGCCUGGAAUUGAUUAUGUGGAAACGUACUCUCCAGUAAUGGACACAAUUACAUUCCGUUACCUAAUAAGUUUGGCGGUUUCAGAAAAACUUAAAAUGAGACUCAUGGAUGUCAUUACCGCAUAUUUGUAUGGAGAAUUGGAUACAGAUAUAUACAUGAAAGUUCCAGAAGGAUUCAGGUUGCCUGAAGCAGCCAGAAACAAACCACGGGACAUGUUCUCAGUUAAAUUGAGAAAAUCAUUAUAUGGGCUAAAACAAUCUGGACGAAUGUGGUACAAUCGUCUCAGUAAGUAUUUACUGAAGGAAGGAUACACAAAUGAUUCUAUUUGCCCAUGUGUGUUUAUUAAGAAAUCAGAGUCUGGAUUUGCGAUAGUGGCAGUAUAUGUCGACGACAUGAAUCUAAUUGGAACUUCUGAAGAGCUUCAAAAGACUGUUGAUUAUCUCAAACGUGAGUUUGAGAUGAAGGACCUUGGAAAGACAAAAUAUUGUCUUGGCUUGCAGAUUGAGCACAGUGCUAAUGGAAUUUUGGUGCAUCAAUCAACUUAUACUGAGAAAGUAUUGGAACGGUUUGGCAUGGAUAAAGCCCAUCCACUUAGCACUCCAAUGGUCGUUCGAUCGCUUGACACUAAGAAAGACCCAUAUCGUCCAAAAGAGAAUGAUGAAAUGGUCCUUGGUCCAGAAGUACCAUAUCUUAGUGCAAUAGGUGCCUUAUUGUACCUAGCACAAUGUACCAGACCAGACAUAUCAUUCUCAGUAAAUCUGUUAGCAAGGUACAGUUCUGCUCCAACAAGGCGACACUGGACCGGCAUCAAACAUGUUCUACGAUACCUUCGUGGGACAACAGACAUUGGGUUAUUCUAUUCCAGCGAAUCGACCAAUGCCCAGAGUAUUAUUGGUUAUGCUGAUGCAGGAUAUCUCUCUGAUCCACAUCAAGGACGAUCACAGACUGGGUAUGUAUUUACAUGUGGAGGAACUGCGAUCUCAUGGCGCUCAACAAAACAAACAUUAGUGGCCACAUCUUCUAAUCACUCAGAAAUACUUGCCCUCCAUGAAGCCAGUCGUGAAUGCGUUUGGUUAAGGUCGGUAAUCCAUCACAUCCGAAGCACAUGUGCCCUACCCUCAACAACAGACACUCCAACAAUUCUGAAUGAGGACAAUGCAGCUUGUAUUGCUCAGAUCACAGGAGGAUAUAUUAAGGGUGACAGGACCAAGCACAUAUCACCAAAGUUUUUCUAUACACAUGAGCUCCAGAAGAGUCAAGAAAUCAAAGUCAGACAAAUCCGUUCAAGUGAUAACCUGGCAGAUCUCUUCACUAAAUCAUUGCCGAAAUGUACAUUCCAAAAGUUAGUGCAUGGCAUCGGAUAACGACAACUCUGCAAGCAAUCAAGUUGGAGCAUGCAAAAUCAGGGGGAGCAUUCAAAAGUCCUCUAACAUAGGACAUAUGCACGUUGUACUCUUUUUCCUUCGCUUAGGUUUUUUCCCACUGGGUUUUUCCAAGCAAGGUUUUAAUGAGGCAACCAAUCUAGGGACAUGUGGUCUCCAAGGGGGAGUGUUGUAAAGAAGAAACAUGUGGAGCCCACAUUUAUGGGGCCCACAAAGAAAAUUAAGCAAAGUAUUUGGAGGUUUAUCAGCUGCACACUCACGGAUGUGUAUUGUAGAAUCACGGGUGCCAUUUAACAUCUCUAUAAAUAGAGAAAGAAGAAGAGAGAAAGAAAAGAAAAAGAAGAAGAGAGAAAGAGAUAGGAAACGGAAAGAAGAAAAGGAAAGGAGGAAAGAGAGAGAAGAGGAAAGAAGAGGGUAAGUAAACAGAGAGAAAAUUCAGUGAGUCACAUAUUGUAAACACUAUUGUAAUCAUAUUAUUAUAUAGUGAAAAGUUACUGUUGCUGCUCUCCGAGGACGUAGGCGUAGCCGAACCUCGUUAAAUACUGUGUCUCAUCUACUUUACGUGCAGCUCAAAAUUUGCACAUAUCCCAGGUUAUUUUAUAACAAAAUGAAUAUAUUGCAUGCAUAAAUAUUAAAUAAUGGGAGUUGUAACUUGUAUCUAUCAAUGAUACAGUAAUACAUAGAGCACUAGACGUGACGCAUGCAUGACCAAAAGAAAGACAAGUUGUAGUAGACCAAGAGGCCGACUGAGAGACUAUCCAUGACUGGAUGAAUAGCAGAAAGUUCUUCCUUUUUAGCGUUUUUCUAUCUAAAUACGUUUGUUAAUACCAUAUAAUGGAGUUUUAGUCCCCCGUAAAAGUUAGUAUUUACUUAUUUUUGUACUAAUAAUAUCAUACAACCGUCCCUAUUUUUUGUGCAUAUGAUAAUUUUUAUCCUUCUCUUCUCUUUUGUAGGUUUCCUCAAAGACCUCGUGGAAGAAGUCAAAAAAAAACAAAACAAAACAAAACAAAACUAUACUUGCUAGAAGUUGAGUCACUCAAAGACCUCGCGGUAUCUAGUCCAGAAAAGACAUGUUGCAUGAUCAGAAACCCAAAAACAUUUAUAGGAGAGGAAAACAAACAAGUAAUUUGACUUCUGUUGAACCCUUAGGACCAAAAUACAUGAAAAGAAACACCAACACCAACCUAAUAUACAGUUAAUCCUUUGGUGCUGCGGAGCAGAGUUCAAAUAUGCUAAAGAGUGAUUGUUCAUGACUGGACACAAGUUUAGUUGAAAGAAUUGGAAACCCCCCUACCCAUACAUUUUUCAGCUUAUAUAUUUUUCACUUCCAAGGAUGUGCCCGCUUUUGGAGCUUCCUCUGCAUAAUUGUCCAGCCCUAUGCUCUUUGACACUAAAUAACUAUGUCUCAAAUGGAGGCACAUUUCCAGGUGGAAUACCCAUCAGAACGUAUGAUGGAACCUGCUGCAUAUACAAACCACACAGAUGAUAGCAGCAGCAUUAAGGAAAAUCAGCUUUUCAAUAUAGGCAAAACAAAUCAAAUUUCAAAGCUAUGAUUUUACAGAACAAAUAAAGUUAGGCAAACCUCAGUUUCUUUCUGAAGAGGAAUGAGGGCAGUCAAAAGAAACUUGGCAUUUGGCCUCUCGAGAGGUUCAUGCUGCAAACACUGUGAAGCCAACUGCACUAACUUAGUUACAUCAUCAUUUGAGAACUGGCCUUCCAAGUAUGGAUCCAUCAGCCUCUUGACGUUUUUACCGCGUACGAGGUCAAGUGCCUUCCAAGAAAGGAAAAGGAAUGAAAAGUAUUUAGCUAGAGCCUCCUUAAUAUGACAACUGGUCUGUAUGGAAUUGUAAUCAUAAUCCAGUUCAUAAACAUUUAAAGCCAGUUGUAUGAUCAGGAGAUGCUGAGAAUGAGGCACAAGAAGAUAUAGCUUUAACUUAAAGCACAUUUAAACACAAAUUGCCUUUUGUAAUAUAUAUUCUUGUUGGUCAGACUUAAUGGAACAUAUUAAGGAAGAAGAAAGUUACAAGACUUGGGGGGGGGGGGGGGGGGGGGGGGCCCCCCCCCACCCCCAAAAAAAAAAUAAAAACUUCUUUCCAAAAGAAUUUUUUUUUUUUCUCUGUGCGCCCAACGCAAAAAAAAAAAAAUGUUUUUAUAUAAAACUACACAAAAAAACAAGAGAUAGAAGAGAAGGAGGAACCCCCCUUCCCACUGUGGUGAGAGGGGGACAGACCGGACCCCCCACACCCAAAUAAUACGCGGGGGGCACAAGGAAGAUUUUUGAAUGAUCUCCAAAUAUUCUAGCAAAAACAGAGGAGAAAAAAAAAAUAAAAAAAUUUAUUGUGUAAUAUCUCUGUGCAGUAGCAAGGCAAAUGAGUAGUGGUGACGUUAGAUGAAAAACAAGAAAGAAAUAUAACAUUAUGCUAGUAUCUUUCCUCCUGCUUGCUGUGGUAGGAACAGAGAGGAGAGAGACGAGGAGAGAUAAUCCAUGAUGUGUGCCCGCCCGCGGACGACCGAGGAGAGAGAAAUGAUAGAUACAUUGAUUUUAUUCAGUUGUAGAGGGAAGCCAAAAAGCGACCGCAUUACAGCUCAUAGACGGGGCAACGGGACUUGAAAAGAGGGAUAGGGAUUACUACGCUUCAGGCAUUAUGCAGGGCUAUGAAAUAGAGCAACGAUUACAUCUACGACGUCCAUGCAUUCGAUCCCGAUUAGGCUGAAANNNNNNNNNNNNNNNNNNNNNNNNNNNNNNNNNNNNNNNNNNNNNNNNNNNNNNNNNNNNNNNNNNNNNNNNNNNNNNNNNNNNNNNNNNNNNNNNNNNNCUGUUUUACAUCAACUGAAGCAAUGACGGAAUUACUUGUUGUCAAGUAUUCUGGAGGGACAAAAUCCAGGUUGGUAAUAUUAUUGCUCUUGCCAUCCUUGUUAUUCUUGAAAAGGCCAAAGCAGGAGAGCCUAGGAUUUGAAUCCUGUCAAAUGCAUGACCCAAUGUAAGGAACGGGGAACAAAUUUAUUAAAUACAGUUUAAAGAGAGUGAAAGGCCCCAAUUACCGGAUAAAACAGGACUCUGGAAGCACUGAGAUCAUGGUAUAAUGUCUGCCCUUUGCUGCUGCAAUAUUCCAAAGCUUGAGCCAGAUACAAAGCCACUCGCAACCUUAUUGCCCAAGGCAUGGGCUGGGUCUCCCCUACACCAAUUUAACCAAUUUAAUAAAGUUUCUACUUCUCUUAUUUCAGCCGAAGUUGCAGUUUGAUUGCUUCAAAAAUGUACUAAAAGAACGUGAAAUCUUGAAUGACCUGUUGCCUCAACAAACCAGACAAACCCCACCUUCUUCAGACACAUUCCGGGAACAUCGAAGUAAGCCAAAUUUAACAGUAAGAUCAGACUAGCACAGCGAAAGAAUUUUAAAAUUUGAGAGGAAGUUACAAAGGAAAAGAUGCUUAGAGAGAGUUUCAUUAAGCAUGAACUCAGCCACAAGCAAUCUCUCAUUGCCUUCAAAGCAACACCCUAUCAAAUUUGCUAAGCGCUUGCUGCUCAGCUGCCCCACAGCUCUAGCUUCUGCCUGCAACCAAACCCAGCAGCAUAUAUACUCUCACAUACCGGAGUUAUACAAAGCAAAAAUAGAAAAUCUAGCCAACUUCAUACGUACAAGAAAUUGGCUGCAAUCAGGCCAAUCAGAUUGGUUGAAGCGCUUAACAGCCACCAAAAGGCCAUCUUCCAGCUUCCCUUUGUACACCACAUUGGAAGCUCCCUCUCCGCCCUCAGAGACAACAUUUCCCAACAAGAAUCCUAAAGUGGCAGCUUUCAGUUGGUCCAAGCUGAACUCGGUGAAACUGGGCAACGAGUCCUUUUCAUUUUGGCUUCCGUUCUCUGCAUAUUACAAAAGCAGAGUCAAAACUUUUUCGGGAAUGUGACAGAAAAUUUGAAAAAACAAAAACAAUGGUAACUAACAAUGAAAGGUCACCUGUGUCUGGUGAAUCGUUGAGUUUGGACACGACAUCAGACCGCCGGAAGCUAUCGGAAGGUUGUAAGCAAAGAGAGAAUCCGGCUCCCAUUGGCUGAUGAAUUCAAUCCAAGUGGGAGAGAAAUGGCUUGAACUUAAAAAUGGGGGGCCAACUUGAUGUAGAACCACAUCACUUCCACGAAGGUCAAAGGCUCAAAUUCAACGAGGGAGACUUCCGUGCAAUAACAUCAUGGACUUUUUCAUUGUCUUGUUUUCUUAUUAAAUCCAAAGCAUUUUAUUAAGACCAAUGGUGCUGCCUCAUUGCAAUUUUAUAUUUCCUUCUUAUCCCAUGAGCCACCUUCCUCUAGGGGAAUGCCAAAUGAUACGGAAAAUUAAAUAAGUACAUGAUAAAGAAUAAGUGAUCUAUUAUUCAUUUCAAAUCCCCUGUUUUAAUUCAUAAUCGAAGAAUAUGUAUGAUUCAGAGGACAUCUUACAUGAUGACAAACUCAAAAAUUUAAAUCAAAUGAAUUACAGCAGGGCAAACAAACAAUAAAUUUUGACUUGUAUAGAUCAAAAUAAUUAAAAAGAUACACCAAGACCAACACAUAGAUUGUUACAAUUAAUCCUCUGUUGCUGCAGAUAAGAACUCAAAUGUCAAAGUGGGAAUAUGGAAAAAGCUAGAUACAAUUGUAAAUGAAAGAAGAGGGAAAACACCUCUAUGUUCCAUCUUUUAGAGUUUCCUGUGCAUCAUUGUCCAUCCCUAGGCUCUUUAGGGCAGCUGCUUGAAGAUAGAAGGCAGUGGGCCAUUCAGGGUUUAUUACUAGGGCUUGCAUAGCAUCUCCAAGAACUUCUUGUGCCAUAUCAUUCAUCAAGUAACAUAAGCAACGUCUAGCAAACACAGUUAGCAAUAUUAUCAUCCUGCCAUCAAUGAACUGCAAUGAAGAGCAACAAGAUCCACCGAGGAGUAAGACUAAAAACGUAUGCAAUUCUACUCUCUAUCUGUCAUAUGCAUAGUAGUAGGCUUGUAAAGCUAAUAUUUCUUAAGGAAUUACCAUUUCUAAUCAUGUGAGGUUAUCUGAUUAUACAAAGUCAUAGAUUUCUAUGUGCAAGACAGAGAGUUUAAAUUCUUGUAACCCCGCUACUAACAACUUUGUCUAACUUAAGUCCAGAUUAUGACCACACACAAAAAAAAAAACAAAAAAACAAAAAAACAAAAAUAAAACCUUAAGUCCAGAUGAAUAUGUAUAUGGAUUUUGAUGAAAGAACUUGUGACAUGCAAACUUUGUAUUUCUAAAUUUGUGACUUACUUCCGAUUGUCAUCAAUCACAAAAACCAAGCAUUUAAAAAAUGAUUGUUCAACAAGAUUAUCAAAUCCAAAGAAACAUAAUGUUGAUCUUAAAAAGAUCAUCCACAAUACACCAAAAACCACAAAAAAUCAUCUUCACUCAUUCAUAUCAUCCUCGUCAUCAUUAAGAAGGUCAUCAUCCAAAACCAAACUACCAUGAUUUGAACCAAUAUCAUUAUUAUUAGCAUCUUCAUCCAAGGGACGCUCCAACCAACUCAUAUCAUAAUAUAAAAAGUUAUAAUUUGAUUAUAUUAUUCUAAACAUAAAAAUGUAGUGAAUCACUAAAUUUUUUUUAAUACUCACUUGAUCUUUCAACACGACCUCGUUUGUAUCGAAUAAUAGGCGGAGAAGGGAUACGCUCAUUAAAAGUAGGCUCACUAGGAGCAGUAGGAGGAUCAUCGAGAACAGACUUACGAAUAAUUGACUCUCGAGGUUGUAGACCACUUUCAUAGGUAGGAAUUGGCACAUUCCUAAUGGCAUCAACAUCAAAUAUGUCUUCCUCUUCUAUCCAAGAAGGAUCAAAUGGAAGAGAUGGUUCCUCAACCUCCGUUAUCCAUUCAUCAUCAGAGGGAAUAUCAUCCACUAAUAUUGGAUCAACCUUUCUCUUCCUUUGAAUACUUCGUUGCUUUAGAGCCGUAUUAUAUUUCACAUAGACUAGAGCAUUUAGCCUUUUCUGUUCAAGUCUAUUUCUUUUCUUUGUAUGAAUCUAAAAUAAAAAUAUAUAAAAAAUCAAUAUUAGACAUUUAGAUUAGAACUAGAAACAUAAAAUAUUAAAAUAUUACAAGACAAAGAAUUAAUUGAAGGAAUUUACCAAUUCAAAGGUGCUCCAAUUCCUCUCAAGCCCAGAUGCACUACAAGUAAGGCUAAGGACUCGAACAGCAAACUUCGUCAACUCUGGUGUCUCCCUCCCAAAACGCAACCACCAAUUGACUAAAAGAAUCCAACAAUAAAAAAAAUAUGAAGAUCCAACAAUAAGAAUUCACAGAUAAUUCAAUUUUCAAAUCCAAUAAUAAGAGUUCACAAAUGAAUAGAAGGACCAUACUUGGUGAUCGCAAUUUCCGGCAUUUCAUUGCUACUUCACUUCCAAAAUCUCCUUCUGCAUAAAUAUAAUUGUCCAAUUGGCAAUCCGCUUGAACACGUUCAUCUCCACUCAACAUCAUAUCCAUGCAUGCACACAAACCUUCCCUCACUUCUUUAGAGUUUGUGAAAGUUUCUUCAUAAUGCAAUUGUGGGUUCAAAUAAUAACCAGCAGCAUGCAAAGGGUGAUGACGUUGUGGACCCCAUCUUUUAUCAAUUUUAUUCCAAAUUGGUUUGUACUUUCUCUCCACAUUUCCACAAUUGAAGGCAAUCUUCUCCUUUACUGCAUCCAUCAACUCAUAAAUAUAGCCCAUUGCAGGUCUCUCUUCUGAAUCAACCUCCCUUAAAACAGAGACAAGUGGAAUAACCACCUUGAUGCAAAAGGCAGCGUGAGACCAAAAAUUAGCAUCAUGUAGUACAAUUUUACGAGCCACAACUCAAUCCUUGUUUUUGGCGAAUGGACCAUUAUGCCAUUCUUGGGAGGUGAACAUAGACAUAAUACCUCUCUUAGCCUUAUAAAUGCUCUGAAGUGUGAGAUAAACAGUGGCAAAGCGUGUCACCGCUGGACGGAUGAUCUCUUUAUUGUUAGUGUAAUGCCUCAUCAAAGAAAGGACCCAUGAAUGUCCAUAAAUGAACUUCACUAAUUGCUUACCCUUUUGAAUAAUAUUUUCAAAAACUGUUAACUUGCUAAUAUCUUCCAGCAUUAAAUCAAUGCAAUGGGCAGCACAUGGAGUCCACCACAAUUUCUUCCUCUUCUCCAUAAGCUUUUUCCCCGCAUUCUUGUAAUUUGAUGCAUUAAUUGUAAUCACUUGAACCACAUUCUUUUCUCCUAUUUCUUCUACUACAUCAUCCAAGUACUUGAACAUCAAGUCUUCAUAUUUUAUUGUAUCAGAGCCAUCAACUGAUUUCAAGAACCAAGUCCCGCGAGGACUAUUCACUAGAAAGUUAAGAAGAACCCAAUUUUUUCCAUCUGUCCAACCAUCUAACAUGAUGGUACACCCAUAUUCAUUCCAAGCGUUUUUAUGUUCAACCAUUGUUCCUUGAAUAUCUUCAACUUCUUGCCUAAGGAUCCAAGUCUUCAACUCAUGCAUGGAAGGGGGUUUGAACUCAGGACAGAAAUUGGAAAUUCCUUCCAUCAUGGACAAAUAAAAAGGACUAUUCACGGCAUUGAAUGGAAUUGCACAAUUGAAGAACCAACGCCCAAUCUUUCGGCACACAUCAUUCCUUUCAUCCUUUUUUAGCUUGGUAUUCAGUGUAGCUUGCUGAGCUUCAGAAGACACAUACUUAUCAAGGGGUCCUCUAGGCCUAGGGGGAGCUAGAGAACUCUCGCCACUUGGAGUUGGGGUACUCCCACUCCCACUCCCACUACCAAUUCCAUCUUCGGAUUGUUCCAUUUCAUUGGAAGCAUUACUCCCAAAUUGGCCUAGCUCACGAAGUGAUUCUUUUUUUUUCUUUUGGACAGAUAGCUCAUGAAGUGAUUCAUUUCGCUUCAUAUUGAUCGCCUUAAAAUUUUUCAAAUAAUCACUACAUUUGGCUUUUACAUUUGGUGGAACCUUUGGACAAGGCUUCAUACCAUGGUGAGUAUGAGCUAAGUGAUUUUUGAGCCUUGUAAUACCUCCGGUGCAUUGUUGAUUACAAAAAGAGCACCUCAAGUAUCUUUCUCCUUCAACUUGUAUCCCCCACUUCCAAGCAAAAUCCUUUUUACUCGUCAUUAUGAAUUUGCAGCAACAAUAUCAAACCAAAUACCAAUUCUUCCAAAAUAAAAAAACACAAACCAACAUACAAAAUCUGCAAACAAAAAACAACUUAACUAAAUAUGCCAUAAAAAAAACAAUAUAAACAAAUUUUCCAAAAAACACAAUGUGGUAAUUAAACAACUGUAAACUGUGCUAAAGAGAUACUAAACUAAUGUAUAAUCAUAUUCUAAUUAAGAGAUAUCGGUCAAUGGGAAUUGCUAAGAAUUAUAUCAAAAGAAAAAAAAGAAAAAAAAAAAAGACUUGGAAAACAGCAAUACAGGGAUGAGGAAUUGGUGUUUCAUAGCUUUAUAUACAUCAAUGAGCUAAGUAAAGACAUGCUGGAGCUUAAGGGAAAAUAUGCAGGAUUGUUUCUCAAUUUGCGGAGGUCGAAAGAGCGAGACAAAAGCUAAUGAACGUUCGAAUCGCUCCUCAGGAGCCUCUUAUCAAAAAAGAAAUCAACAGUAGCCUAUGAACCCUCACAAAAUCAAAACAAAAAAUAAAAAUAAAAAUAAAAUAAAAAAGAAAAACCUGGGUUUGACGAAAAUCCACCAAUUUCUACUCAAUUAGUGCUACAUCACAGCCCAAUAGCUUGAAGAUUUUCCGAAAACUAACUCAAUGUUUGCUUCAGAUUAUGCGGAGAAUUUGCGGUUAGGGCUGGAGGCGUUUUUGAGAGGUGAAAUGCUCGCGAGUCGUGACUGGAGGCGCGUCUGGGUUUUAAAAAUUAACCCUAAUAUAGAAGAGCGGCGCGUACGCUACGAAGUGCGCUGUGCGAACGCUAUUUAAUAUGCAUGACGUCCCAAGCAAUUUAUCUGUCUUGUUUUUUUUAUAAUCCAAGUCCAAAGCAUUUUAUUUACAGUUUUAUAUUUCCUUCUUAUACCAAAGGGUAUUUGAAAAAACAUUAUGACUUCAUAUGAGCCAUCUUCCUGUAGAGGAAUGCCAAAUGAUAAGGAUAAUUAAAUAAUAUAUAAGCAAAUGGGAUGCAUCAUAAGGCACCUAUUAUUCAUUUCAACGCCCCUGUUUUAAUUUAUAAUCCAAAGGACAUUUUACAUGAUACAAACUCAAAAAUCGAAAAUCAAAUAAAACACAGCAGAGCAAACAAACAAUAAAUUUUGACUUCUAUAGAUCAAAAUAAUUAAAAUGAUACACCAAGACCGACAUAAAGAUUGUUACAAUUAAUCCUCUGUUGCUGCAGAGCAGAACUCAAAUGUCAAAGUGGGAAGAUGGAAAAAGCUAGAUACAAUUAUAAAUGAAAGAAGAGGACAAAACACCUAUACAGAGUUUCAGCUUUUACUUUUUUUUACUUCAAACGACGUUCCAUCUUUUAGAGUUUCCUGCGCAUCAUUGUCCAUCCCUAGGCUCUUUAGGGCAGCUGCUUGAAGAUAGAAGGCAGUGGGCCAUUCAGGGUUUAUUACUAGGGCUUGCAUAGCAUCUCCAAGAGCUUCUUGUGCCAUAUCAUUCAUCAAGUAACAUAAGCAACGUCUAGCAAACACAGUUGGCGAUAUCAUGGUCCCACCAUCAAUGAACUGCAAUGAAGAGCAACAAGAUCCACCUAGGAGUAAGAUGAAAAGUGAAUGCAAUCCUACUCUAUCUGUCAUAUGCAUUGUCGUAGGCUUGUAAAGCUAAUAUUUCCUAAGGAAUUAUCAUUUCUAAUCGUGUGAGGUUAUCUGAUUAUACAAAGUCAUAGCUUUCUAUUUGCAAGACAGAAAAUUUAAAUUCUUGAAACCCCACUACUAAUAACUUUGUCUAACUUAAGUCCAGAUGAAGAAGCAAAUUAUAUCAUUAAUGCUUUCAACUGAGUGACUGCCAUUGCAAUAUCACCAUGUAUUUGAAUAUGUAUCUGGAUUUUGAUGAAGGAACUUGUGACAUGCAAACUUUGCAUUUGGAUAAAAUCUAAUCAGAUUCAAAUUAUUUUAUUUUUAUUUUUAUUGAUUCCUGUCAAAAAGUAUAAAUUUGUGACUUACUUCUGUGUAAGAAUCUAUCGCGGUAACAAAAUCCUUAGCUCGAAAUGCAGCAUCCCCAUGCUUCUUAGAAUUCAAUGUCUCUUGUAUUUGAUUUGUCCACAUUUGGAAAGAAAGCUGCAAGGUAACUUCAAAGUAAGGGCAGUGCAUUACACAAAAUUAACAUUAAAAGUUUGCUCAUACACGUAACUGAUGCAAAACUUGAUGACAGAAAGGAUAGUAAUAAUGGUUGGCAGAUGUCAGAAAAUAUAACAUAGAAAAGUUAGAAUUGAGGAUCACUAACGUCAUUUGCAACCCCCUCAUCAUCCUUGUAUCCAAGCUUCUCCAGUAUUUCAUGUAUUGCAGUAAGAUCCAGUCUCGAGCAAGCUUCACCUAGAGGUGAUAGCAAUGUCUGAUUCAGAGGUGCAUUUCCAUGCGGAAUACCCAGCAAAACAUAUGAUGGAACCUGCUACAAACCACUACAUGAGAUGAUAUAUUUACCUUCAUGGUAUUCUAUUUGCAGCAUUACUGCAAAUGAACUUUGAAAAACAGAGGCAGCAGAAAUCAAAUUUUGAAGCAUAUAGUAAAGAAUAAAUAAAGUUGGGCAUCAGCACACCUCAGUUUCUUUUUGAAGAGGAAUGAGGGCAGUCACAAGAGACUUGGCAUUUGGCCUCUCACGAGGUUCAUACUGCAAGCAUCGUGAAGCUAACCUCACCAGCUCAGUCCCAUCAUCAUUUGAGAAAUGACCUUCCAAGCACGAGUCAAUCAGCAUCAAAAAGUUUUUGCCCCGUAUCAGGUCAAGUGCCUUCCAGAAAGAAAAUUGGAAAUUAUAAUUAUAAUUAUAAUCAGAAUCCAAUUCAUAAAAUUUUAAGCCAGUUAUAUAAUCAGGAAGUUAUGAGAAUACGAUACAACCAGAUAGGUUUGACUUAGACCAAUUUUAAACACAAGUUACUUUUGUAGGGCGUAAUUUUCCACUGGAUGACCAAGAAAAAGAAAAUCAGAGCAACAAUUCACCUAGAAUUUAUUAAUGAAAAGAAAAGUUACAUGACUUGGAGGGAUAUGUUUCCCACUGAGCAGAUCAAGCAACAGGGUACCAAAGCUGUAAACCAAACUUUCUGGUAUCACUCUUCCUGCCAAACAGAGAUAAGCUUUAGCUCGACUAAAGAUUUUUAUGAGGCCAUGCUCAUGCACAGAAAUAUAGAAGCUUGAAAGUGCUUAUGCGAAUGAGAAUGCUACCAGACCUCAAUUAUCAAGGAAUUGAGGUCCCUCUUAAUACAUGUAGUCUUCAUCACAAAUAAAGACUUUAUCACAUUAUGAUGCGUGUGUUCAGAACUCAUGCAUGAAAAUAUGGAAGCACUAAGCCCUUUUUCCAAUGAAAUUUCCUGGGAUAAGGAAAUAUGCAAAGGAGAUCAUGAAUGACACAAACACAGCCAGCCCAAAAGGCCACUACUCUGCCAUCCCUGAUCGAAUCAUCGGUAUGGUGGCCACUUAGUACUUAUCAACUCACUAAUAUGAAAACGCAUUAAAGGGAACUUCAAUUGCUCCACUCAUUAGUUGAGGUAUGCAUAGCAUUCUCACUUGUUUUUCCCCUCCAGUUAUUUUCAUAAAAGAGAAUCUUUGCAAAACAAACGGAAGUUUUAACUCUAGAAAGCAUUGCAUUUGGAAUUUACAUGGGAAGACAUGACAAAACUAUGUUUACAGGGAGGAGGCAAAAACAAAAAGAUGGAUCGGGAUCAUGAUGUCUUUUUCCCUCUCAACUUUCCCACCCAUCUCCCUCCUAUCAAACUUAGUGUAAAAGUUAUAACAUCAAUAUUGUUUUCAAUUGGCUGAAGCAAUGAUGGGAUUAUUACCUGUCCUCAAGUACUCUGGAGGGGUGAAAGCCAGGUUGGUACUAUAGCUCUUCCCAUCUUUGCUAUUCUUCAUUAGACCAAAGCAGGAGAGUCUGGGAUUCCCAUCCUGUCAUUGACAACGUGUAAGGAAUGGCCAACAAAAGAUUACAUCCAAUUUUGAAAAAAGAAAAGGACCAAAUUACCUGAUCGAAUAGGACUCUGUAAGCAUUAAGAUCAUGGUACAAUGCCUGCCCUUUACUGCUGCAAUAAUCUAAAGCUUGUGCAAGAUACAAAGCCACUCGCAACCUCAUCGCCCAUUUCAUCGGCUGGGUCUCCCCUGCACCAAUUUAACCAAUUUACUACCUUUAUUUAUUUCAGCCCAAGUAAGUAGCAGUUUUAUUACUUCUAAAAAUGUACUUUAAAAAAUCAAAAUCUUGAAUGAUCUGUGUCCUCAAUUAUUAUACACCUACUUAACAUCAAAAUAAGCCAAAUUUAACAACAUUAGAGGGGAACUUACAAUGGAAAAGAUGCUUAGAGAGAGUUUCAUUGGGCAUGAACUCAGCGACAAGCAAUCUCUCAUCACCCUCGCAGCAGCACCCGAUCAAAUUCGCCAAACGCUCGUUCCUGAGCAGCCCCACAGCUCUAGCUUCCUCCUACAACCAAACCCAUCACAUAUCUUCACACACAGAAUCAUAAAACAUAAAACAAAAUAAGAAAGAAGCAAAAUUUAGUCAACUUCCAUACUCACCAGAAAUUGGCGCGAAUCGGGCCAAGCUGAUCGGUUGAAGCGCUUAACAGCAAUCCAACGGCCAUCGUCGAGCGUCCCUUUGUAGACCACAUUGGGAGCUUUCUCUCCAUGCUCGGAGACAACGUUCUCGGACGAGAAUCCUGACGUGGCAGCUUUCAGUUGGUCCAAGGUGAACUCACUGAACCCAGGCAGCGAGUCCUUCUCAUUUUUGUUCCCAUUCUCUGCAGCUCACCAAAAACAAAGUCCAAAUUUUCUCGGGAAAGUGACGGAAACACAAAAAGUUGAAACGAACAAAAAGAGCAAGAACAAGAAAAGCUCACCUAUGUCUGAAGAGUCGUUAAGAUUGGAUUUGAUGUUGGACGGCCAGAAGCAAAGAGAUAGCUUGGAGCAACGAGCUCCCAUUGGCUGAUGAAUCCAAUCCUAGAGAGAGAAACAGCUGGAAAAGUUCAAAUAUGUGUCUCUGAUUUCCUCUCUCUAGAAAGUAUGGCUCUCUUUCUAUCACUUUCCUGGGGACUAGUAAGAAGGUUUGAGAGGAGUUUUUGGAGGAGAGAUGGAUAGGGUAGGAAAAUGAUGGAGAAUGAAGAAGAAAGAUGGAUAAAUAAAAACCAAGACAGGCAUAUUUCUCUUUUGCUCUUUUGUUUAUUUUGUUUAUUUUGUGUUUGGAAGUAGAGAAAGUGUGAGAAAAUUUCUAAACCCAAAAGUAACUUUUUGGAUCCAAUGUUUUCUUUGUUUUUCUGUUUCUUUCUCUCACACCUUUCCUUCGUUUUCUGCAUUUCGCUCCUCGUUUUUUUCUUUUCGUUUUUAAUCCCCUUCUACGCUGUUUCUCGUUUUUCGUUGCUUUUUCUUUUCCCUUUUGCUUUGGUUACGUUUUUUUAUUUUCUCUUUCCAUUUUCACUUUUAUAUAUUAUCAAUCUAUACAUGAAAAGUAUUAGAGCUACUAAAUUCUUCUCCAAUUUUAGAAACCAAAUAGUUUAAUAAUUACAAAAUAGAAUCUUACUCAUAAAAAAUAAGUAAAGUUUAAACUAAGUCAAAAAUAUCAACAAGAUCGCAUUAGUGGAAUUCAAAACUUUCAACUUUGUUAGUAUUAAAUUAAUCUUUAUUUACGACAUAUGUUGCGUUUUAUGAAAAAACUUAUCGUCUGAUUGUGAAUCUGCAUUACAUAAAUUUAAUAUAAAUAUAUGAUCUAAGAAAGGAAAUAUUAAUGUAAUGGAUUACAUGUUAGACUUAUUUUCUAGUCAAAUAUUACAUCUUAGACUAAGUUUAGGUAAAGUUGCAGUUAUGGAUUAAAUUUAAUAAUGUAGUGUCAUUUUCAACCUAAUCUUUGAAACCAAAAGGACUGAAAAUGGUGAGAAGAACCUAGCCUAGCAUAUCAAAUUUAAAGCUGACUUAGUGCACAUUGUAUAUCUUCUCUGUCAACCCAAAAUUUUAAUUAAAAAAUGCAGUCAAUUUAUUUAGUUUACACGAAGUUGGACAGUUCAACUACGCAAAUAAAGAACACAUCCACAUUUAUGUGCACAUAAAAUAUGAAAUUAAUAAAGCAAAAUGCAGUGCUUUAGCCAGACAUGCCUCGAAUGAUGAAGAAUGCAUUCAACCUGAUAUCAGGAUCUUCUUGACCAACUUUUCCAGCUCUUUUAUGCAGAAAAUAAAUAUUUUUAAAAAUAAAAAUAAAAAAGUUGUAUAUUAUCAUAUAAAAUAGCUGUUUACAGCCCUAAUUUUAUAUUAAUAUGUUAAGAUUUCAGCACAGGAGGAGGGGGAAUUCUCACACACAAUUAAGAUACAAUGGAAGUUCAAACCUAAGAUCUCUUUCUAGAAGUCAAUACCUUUUUCUAUUAUAAUAGACCUUAUCGGUAUUUUUUUCCUUUUUUUUAUUUAAAUUUUAUGGUGGUGUUCUUGGAUUUGGGAAGUAUGGGAAAAAGAUGAGGUCUUUUUGGGUCUUAUGAAAUGUACCUUAAUUAUAUUAUAUCCUAAAUUUAGAUGCAAGGCCACGUUAGCUCGUGGACCACAUGCAUAGAAUAUUUUCAACAAAAGGUGUCCUGACCAUACCCAUUCAUAAUUUCGUUCAUCUGCUUCACUAUGAUCCUUAUUGUUUUUUAACAAAUGUGGUAGGUGAGGUCAAUCAUAAUAAUAUAUCCUAAACUAAGAUAAGGUUCUAAGGAAUAUGUAUUCGAAAUAUUCAAUUAGAAGAGAUUAAGAAUUUAAUUCUCGAUGCAAGUUGGAGUCGCAUGUUGAAAAGAAGUAUAUGGCAAAGUUUAAUGACUUGCGUCAAUCCAAUGUGGUUAUAAAAUCCCACAUCACCAUCACCACCAUGACCAACUAUGUCAAUACUCUGGAUCACAUUGUCGUACCACAUAAUGUUAUGCGUGAUGUUACUAACUCAUGUUCUAUAAUAUUAAGGGGUUAUUGAGUUGAUAUGUCAUGAACUUAAGUAGAUACACGUGUUAUAACAUGACUAAACUAAUAACACUUGUUAUAUUAUGUGACUAUUGGAGUUGUUGGAGGCAUGUAAAACCUUUCCACAUCACACAAAUAUACUAGGCAUAAAACAAUUGGUUUCUUUUUCUUCUUCUUUUUUUUUUUCUUGGAUCAUUUGUAUAAAGUUAUAUAUAUAUAUAUAUAUAUAGAGACAUCAUGAGAACAGGAUGAGAUAAGAAUCCACUUACGAGAAAAGGGUUUAGGGCUAGACUACAGGACACUGACGAAUUUGGGAAAUUUGAAUGUGAAAACCCACAGGCCAAAACAAAGACUCUUGAAUUCCAUGGAUUUGCCAUUUUACUUUCUUGUACUAUUUAUUUCCCAAAACAGUUGCUCAGAAAACCAGAACUGGAGGCAGCAACAUACCUUUUUCCAUUUCAGCAAAACAUCCAUCCCAGAGAGGAAGUCCAUGCAAAUGACAUAAUUGCUAUCUUUUUGAUACAUUUGAGUUUGACAUUGGGAGGGAUGAACAGAGUUUAGAUAUUAUGUUGGCACUAAAAGUUAAGAGACUUGCAGCUAAAAAGGAAAAGAAACAGUUGCUCAGAUAGUGAUGGGAAAGCAAGCAAGAGAGGCAUGUGAUGUAACAAGCGCUGUCUCCAAUAUCAUGCUUCAACAACCUAUGAAAAGAGAGAAUAUACAUGGGAAAAAAGAAAGGGCAUUUGGAAAGCAAAAGGGUUGGUGGUCCUUGUGGGUCAUGAGACAAGAAGCAUUAUUAAUUGCAUAAUUGGGUCAUGCCAGCCCUAAAUUGCUUCCUCUAGUUACUGUGCCCUUUGAGAAUAAUGCUAAGCCCUCUUGUCUUGUAUUGUAUGUGAUGCCUCUCCCAUUCUUCACCCCACGCAACCUGUUUUGUGGACCAAAUUUUGAAGCAAUCUUUUUAAACAUGACAACCUGGUGCUCCAACACAAUGACUUGGAUUUCAUCCAUAGUCACCACUUUUCUUGACUCAUUCCUGUGCAUACAAUCUCUAUAAUUCAUUUCUGUGAUGAUGACGACAAAGGUGAUAAUGAUGAUGAUGAUGAUGACUAUGAUGACGGUAUAUGUAUGAGUAAGAGUUAGCUGCACAAAUAUGAUAUGGGUGACACUAAACAGUGAAAAAGUGGUUACUCAUGAGCAUACUAAAACCUAAAACAUUCCAUUUCCAGCAAUAAUACAAAUUACGUUCAUCAGCCUCGCUAAAGAGACAAUAUUGCAUCUGUUGAAGCAACUUAGGACUUUUAACAGCAGCAAAACCAUCUUCAGCUUGUGCUGCUCAUCUAUGUACCAUAUAAUGCUAAGUAUGUUCCUAUCUCGAAACUUUUGAUUUGUCAGCCCUCCUAUCUGGAGACAUGCAUUACACAUGAUGUUUGCAUCCACAAAAUGAGGUCAAACUAAAGAGGACAAUAAGAAAUAUUUACUGGUUUUCCAGACUCAAGUGGUAAUGUUGGCAGAAUUUCCAUUCCGGAAUUUGUCAAGCUCUUCUCUGUUCUUGCUAUCUUUAUCUCUGCUGCUUAUUGGUAGCAGUUGUUGAGAUGUAGAACCAAGAGACCGAUCAGGCAAUUCUGUGAAGGAGAAGAAUACAGUCAGCACAUACACACCUUUGGGUAUUCUAAAGAGCUUGACAAUUACUGCCCAUAGAAAGUUCUGUUUUGUUCUAAAUAUACAAAACUGAAUCAAAUUUAGACAUGUUCAUGAUCUAACAGUAAAAUGGAAUCCAGAACAAAUUUUACCCAUUUUUAAGAGGGAGAAAAAAUUAUUGGAAUUGCAUUUUGCUAACCUGGCAAUUUUUGGUCAAUAAAGAACACUACCAAAUUUACAGUGUACCUGCAUGGGAAUAUAAAACUUAAGCUCGACCAAUAGAUUAUUAAAUAUUCCAGUAGAGUAAUUUCAAAAGCAUAACAGGAUCCAUCUCUCACCAGGCAACAACAAUGUCAACAGUGUAAUGUUUGCGAGAUGCUACAAUCAGGAGGCUCUGAAUAACAGCCACUAACCAAGCAAUCUGCUUAAUGCACCUGUAAUGAUAAGCCGCAGUAGUGUCAAAAAUUUAUACUAGUUUAUCCAUUUAGAAGAUAUCCUUAGAAAAGUGAAAUUGACUAAUGACUCAAGCCCCCAACCCCUCGGACAUCAGUACAUGGAUUGCUUUACUUUCCUUCUUUGACCUCAUUAUUGGGGAACCAGAGGACAACAGCCCCCACCCCAAAAAAAAGAAAUAAGAACGGAAAAGAUGCAGCUAAUAGUAAUUGUUACCUCUUUGUUCCAUAUUUCUGAUAUGUGCGCACAAAUACUAAGGUAAAAAUCAUAUGUGAUGAAAAGAUCAAAUCACCACAACCAUACAUUACUCCUCGGGGAACUGCACAAUCAUGCAAAUCAUAUAAGCAUGAAGAAGAUUAUGUUUUAUGAAGUUAAUGAACCAUUAAAAAUUAAAAGAUGAAUAAUUUAAACCCACAGUUGAUUAAGAGCACUUCAAGUGCACUCUCUGGAGGGGGCAGCCUGGCAAGUUUUGAGCCCUGAAAGAGACAGUUGUACCUGAUUGUAAAACAUCGUUUAAUAACAACUACUUAAUGAUUAUUGAUUACAGCGAACUAACAACCGAAAUUGCAAACUUCUAUAAACUUUACCUCGCGGCAAUGAUAGUUUGGACCAGGAAGCAGAGUUGAGUAGAAGGUUAUAAUCCGGAGCAUUUGAGAGACCUAAACAAAAUGCAACAUAUACGCAAAGAAUUUGUCAGAAAAUAUAGCAGAAAAACACAGGAUACUAUUAAUCCAUUGAUCCAUGAAUCAGUGCACGAGUCAAAACUUCAACAACAACAAAAAAAGCACAUAAAUCAUGCAUUCUUUAUUCAUAUAUGGAAGACUGUCCUGAGUGCUAUUCCCAGUCAGAUGCUUCAGAAAAUGAACCAAGCUCAAGAACUAGUAUCAUAUAAGCAGGACACAUAAUGCAAGAACAUUGGGUUGAAAGAGGAAAAUACAGAUGACUCUGUAAUUAAUGUAAGCAUAUUCACCAAAUUUUCAUCGACGUCGAUAUUUAUUGCAUACUAGAAUAUUCAAAACACUUGGGAAAAUUAAAAAGGAUUUAUAACACAUAUAUGUAGCAUGUGAUGAUGAUAUGGCUACUGAUUAAACUGUUACCUGAUAAGAGCCCAUAUUAAACCAAAAGGGAAAACAGUUUCAAUGGUAAGCCUUUAUAAUGCCAAAGCAAAAACUCAAGUUUUUCCAGCAAAGAACCAAUGACAUAUGCAACCUAGGUGAAUGAACUUCCUGAAGAGAGAGAGCAAUAAGGAAGAUCUAAAAGGAAGAGUUUAAGCAGCUAAGGGUGUAGUCUAGCACAUGUAAACAGCAAAAACAACAUUGGUAAAUAUCAGCUGUACUUACGCCUAAAUAAGCAAAUACUCUGCACCAUAUCAGAACUGUAUAUAUCUUUUUGUACUGGAAAACAAAGGGGUGAAAAGUCCACUGCAACAGAAUAAAACUCUGGAUUAGGAUGCUACCUAAGUUCUGUAAGUAAUUAGGAGCAAAAACUAAAGAAACGGACUGCAAGAACAACUGGCCCUUCAAAUACAUGAGAGACAAAUCCAGGAUAAAUUUAAAGUAGAUGUUGAUAUUAGAAAACAGAAAGGCUUACCAAGACAAAGGAGAAAAAGAUGACUGAAAAGAGAGUCUCACUAAGAUAAGUUCUGUCUUGACCAAGUUCCUAAGAUAUCACAAAUCAACAGAAAAUAAAUGAUAUGACAAAUGUUACAUAAAAAACUAAAGCCUCCGGAUAAAAAUCCUUAAAAGUAUGCCCACCGGGAGGAAAAAGAACCCAGCAUCCUGAAGCGUCGGUCCUGGCCGAUGUAAAUAAUGAACACCAUGAGCAGCUAGUCCAUGAAGAUACUGUUAACACAAACAAAACUACUAUAUAAGCACUGAACAAGAGCCCCUGCAAAAACAAAAGAGGGAAAAGGAAAAGCCUAUGAAGAGGGAAAGUAGUUUGGCUCAGAACAUAAUUUUUUGUCCAACACAGAAAGGUUUCAUAUCACUGAGAUCAGCCCAUAAUUCUUCUCUGGCUUACACACAUUUGCAGAACAAAUAGUGUGAAUUAAACCAACACCAUUCAAUCCACUGCAUUGAAAUUCAAGUUUAAAGCCCAACUUGAAACAGAACAACUAUGACUAGUAGUAGUUCCAUAUAAUCAUGUAGUUCAAACCAUUUCUAAUUAACUUUUUCUAAUGGAAUAAGCUUCCAGCAGUUCACAAGUUACAUGAACAUUCAAUACAAAUUAAUUGCCAACAAUAAUUCCUAGUUUAAAAAAAAAAUGAAGCAGAAAGAGAAAAAGAAAUGAACCUGAAAAACGAGACCAGCAAGAAAAUACUUCCAAUUCCCGGCAAGAAGCGAAAUUUCAGUUGACGUCUCUGCGCAUACUUUCCUCCAUAGCUUCACAUUUCAAACAACACCAAAAAAUCAAUGAAACUUGGAAUUUGUCCCAAAAAAAAAAAGUGGAACGAAAACAGCAAUGGCGGGCUUCAUUGUAACCUUGGGAGCCUCACGAGCAAAGAUAACCGGCAUUUUGGAAUAUGAGGUUAAAGCUCGUCAUCAAUCAGCAUUAAGAACUCCAAAUAAACCGCUAUAAAUUGGAAUUCGAAUCGUCCAACGUGAUAAUAAAUUUAAAUUUAAAUUGAAAAAAAAAAUUCGCAGAGAAAAUGGAAUUGGAGUUUUGAUUUCAAAAUUCGAAAAUUAGGUUUGGGAUCAAUAGGAAUCUAUCUAUAUCUAAUCUACAGCAACAGAAUUUCACCAAAUUCAAAACUCUCUCCGACUCUUUUUGUCUCUCUCAGUCUUCUCGGUCUCGGUGGUGGCAGUUGAGAAAGAAGGUUUUCCAAGUGGGGGGAGUGAGAUGGGAAAACCAAAUAAUUAAUUUAAAAUAAAAUAAAUACUUGGGACAAAAGUUUUCAAAACAUUUUUCUUUUUUUCCUGGGUUUUUUGUUUUUUUUUGAAGAAGAGUCAGCAAAUCUGCAUGACGUGUCCAAUAAGCGUGCAAAGAAGGAACGCGCUCACGUGGCAAGCCGAUGGAGAACCUAUGUCGGCUACAACUUUUUAUUUUAUUUAUUAAAACGUCGGCUACAACUUUCGAAAACAAGUUUUAACCCGAUAGAUAUCAGGGAUGAUGGACCCACUAUAGUAUGGGUCCCACUUCAUUUCUUCAACUCUAUCGCACAAUGUAAUUGACCCAAAAAUAGAGAGAGAUAAGUCCUAGAUAAACCACAGAAGAAUGAGAUAUAGUUUAGUGAAAAAGGAUCUCUGAUUGCAGACCGACAGUUUUAGAUUCGGAUUUUAUAGCAUAUUGGCAGUGUGUGUGAAACUCCUCUCCUCAAAUAUAGUUUGUAUACAAAAUCACAAUAGGAGGAAUUUCCGAAAAUCAAAACGAAUUUUUACAACUACAAUAAACCAAAAUUUAGAAAACCAAUCAUAAGGUUGUGUAAAUUUAUGUCAUAUAUUGAUCAGAGUAUCUAGUACCAUAUUAGCUUCUUGAUAAGUAUGAUGAAUUUCUACUUUGUCCAACUGAAAAGGAAGGUAAAGAUCUCAUCCCGAGUGACAGUUAAAAAAACCCUAAUCCAUUUUCCCCAGUUUAACAUAUUAAAUUGUCCCAUAAGAGUUGCUCUCCAUUAACAAAAGGCAAGGUAUAUAACCUUUUGGUGAGUCUAAGAUGCAAUGCAUAAUGACCAAAUACAACCCAUAUUGGAAAUGUAUACUAUAUAGUAGUGUCAUAGUUCCCACGCAAUGUAAAUGUAUCAUAUAUGUGUGAUGUGAGACGUCCUCCUUUUUGCUUUUGGCUUUCCUCCUAAGUUUUGUACUGCAUUCAAAAAGAAGCAAACCAGUGUUCCUUAAAGGUGCAGCAAAGAAAGCCACUUUCAUAAGAUUUCUCUUAGAGCACCCAGCAAU
RNAcentral lists this long non-coding RNA (30884 nucleotides) under Prunus persica (peach). Its description in RNAcentral is "long non-coding RNA (PPER_LNC005647)". Lineage: Eukaryota; Viridiplantae; Streptophyta; Magnoliopsida; Rosales; Rosaceae. The record is from RNAcentral.